GAUGAAGAACGCAGCGAAAUGCGAUAAGUAAUGUGAAUUGCAGAAUUCAGUGAAUCAUCGAAUCUUUGAACGCACAUGGCGCCCGCCAGUAUUCUGGCGGGCAUGCCUGUUCGAGCGUCAUUUCAACCAUCAAGCCCUGCUUGCGUUGGGGUCCUGCGGCUGCCCGCAGGCCCUGAAAACCAGUGGCGGGCUCGCUAGUCACACCGAGCGCAGUAAUACAUCUCGCUUUGGGCGUGCGGCGGGUUCUUGCCGUUAAACACCCCCUUUUUACCAAGGUUGACCUCGGAUCAGGUAGGAAUACCCGCUGAACUUAAGCAUAUCAAUAAGCGGAGGA
This 334-nucleotide unclassified non-coding RNA is filed under the name soil metagenome. Its description in RNAcentral is "partial contains 5.8S ribosomal RNA, internal transcribed spacer 2, and large subunit ribosomal RNA". The stretch from base 1 to 120 matches the Rfam family "5.8S ribosomal RNA", at positions 35 to 154 of the family's 154-position model. The record is from RNAcentral.